Lolium perenne is the source of this 1250-nucleotide non-coding RNA. The record is from RefSeq and is a predicted model, not a curated record. NCBI's taxonomy places the organism in Eukaryota, Viridiplantae, Streptophyta, Magnoliopsida, Poales, Poaceae.
GCAUUGGCCCCGCCGCCGGAUGCAGAGGCACCGUGCGCCAUGCCCGGACUCACCCCAAUCACUCCAAGCUUGAGAGAACCAAAGUCGUCGCCUCGGCCAUCCCCUCUGCGCGCCGUGUACGCAAAUAUCCUUGUACACCGACGCCAACAAGCUGGGGAUCGGGGCAGCACUGCAUCUCCUGGUGGAUGUCCGCGGCGUGGCCUGGAGGCGGCAUGAUUUCUAUCCCAACUGCCGGCCACGCGACCAUCCGUGUUGACCCUGGGCACAGAUCCUUGUUUUCUCCGCCAUGGAAGCCAAAGAUAAAUAACCAAAUCCAAGAGUUGAUAAAUAUUGUAAAGAUUUGUUCAGCUGUGGAGAUUCAUGGCGAUGAGUAUCUGAAAACAGACUAGGACAGUACAUGGACAUGAGCAAAUCAGCAAUUCGUGAUGCGUAUGCAAGGUGCUGUUGAAUAUGUGUUCUGUAUCAUUUUUCUACUACUAGAAGAACACGAUUUCCUUGCAAAGUCAGCUUAUCUGAAUUCAAUUCGAGUUCCAUCCUAGAUGUGCUUGUCACUGUCACCUUGCAGAAUCGUAUCAAUCUCUUGUGCAAGGAUUCUGCCGGCCUACAGUUUCUUCAAGUAAAUUCAAGGGCAAGAGUAUACCAUUGUAUUCAAAAUGGAAAUGGAAUAUUUCUAUUAGUCUGCGGCCCUGAUAUAAACUACCAUUUGUGUCUCUAUGUAUUACUCAUAUCCAAUUUUCCAAAUUUAUUUCUGCCAAUUGUUUUACUUAGAUCACUCAUUCUUUAAUUCUGAAUUAAUUUCAUUCGGUGCAGAUUUUCUCUUUUCAUUCAAGACGAGAAAUGCUAUAACUAAAUCCAUGUAUUCUGAAGAUGAGCGAAUACCGAAUACCAGUACCAGAGUAAUCUUGAGGGAUCAGAAGCAUAUGCUGAUGGCAAAUAUUCCGAUCUGCAUCUUCAUGACAAAUGGUGAUCCAAACGCUAGGCUGAGAAAAGAGAUUUGAUGUUGACAACAAGCAUCAAGAAGAGGGCGGAGCAGAAGGAAGCUCAGAGGAAAACAAGAGGGCAAACUAAGUCACCAUGCAAUUAGAAAUCAACUAAAGCAUGUCUAUAAUUUUUUUCAUGCACAAACACUUCACAACUACCUAAGUAAUAUCUUCAAUCGAAUUGGAAUCUAAAUGUUUAUAAAAUAGUACAUGUGACUGUUCAAGAACACACGGGAUUAACCGUGGCAGCGCACGGGCAUUCAACUAGUA